RNA transcript from Leptidea sinapis, 1319 nucleotides. RefSeq lists it as uncharacterized. The transcript is spliced from 5 exons. The record is from RefSeq and is a predicted model, not a curated record. NCBI's taxonomy places the organism in Eukaryota, Metazoa, Arthropoda, Insecta, Lepidoptera, Pieridae.
CUACUUCUAGCGUUUGCACUUUGUGCAUGUAUGUACCUAGCUCUCGUGUUCCAUUUUGCAUAUUUUUGGUAUAGAAAUCGAAGUGUAAGUGCGUCGAGUCGAGCCUUGUGUUCCUCCGCCUUGCUGUAGCGAAUUCACUCCAAACAUCUCCUUAUUCUGUGCAUUUCUACUUUUUGUGAUAUAGAUUAGAGAAACUUUUGUUUGUGGAAUUUAUGGACUUUGGUGUAAUGCCGAGACGUUGUGCUUUCGGUUGUGCGCUCCGUGGUAAGUAAAUUAUUCUCUUAAAUCUUAAUAGUAUAGUUUAUUGACUAAUCUUGUGAUAAAUAAAGUAUCAUAUAAGGUUUGUUCUACUCUCAGGUUCUGCUACCGGUCCGUAGAUUGAAUUUGCAAUCAUGGUUAAAACUAUUAUAAACAUACCGGUUUUCUGUAUCUUGCCCCAAAGAUUAAACUCCAAUCCCUCAAAUCACCUUAUGUCAGACUUCAGACUCCCCCUGAAUUAUAUGGUUUAAUAAUAAUUGACAGCUGUGCUGGCUUCUGACACCAUUUUUAUCAAGAGAAAAGUCAAUAUAUGAGUCCAAAAUCUAAUACUAGCCCAAUGGUCAUAACACUAGAUUAUAACAAAAUUUGUCUGAUAAUAAUAAAUUGAGUGACUAUUAAAAUAGUCACUCAAUUUAUUUAAUAAUGUUAUUUAUUAUUUUAAGAGAUUCCAAUGCACAGUUUCCCAUUAAACUUAAACAAAAAAAUUUAAACAUCUGAUCUUGAAUGUUAUAAGAAGAAGACAAUUUGUGAUAUACACUUUUCUGACAGACACAGAAAUCAUAAUCAAUGGCUAAGCACAUUGGCAGUUCCGAUGCUUCAUCUGCUUGGACCACUACAGAGUCAAGUAAUCUUAGGACAAGCUUUAUCCACACAACAUUUACUGCCUACAAUAAUACAGCAAGACUUUUCAGAGCCAUAUGUGAGCAACUUUAUUUUAGAAAAAGCAUCAACUUCAACAACAUUCCAACCUGUGGCUGCAGAUGCAUCUCAAGGUGCUUGAUGCUGGAACAUAAUUAUAGUUUUAUUAGCAAACCUAAAAGAACAGCUGGAAAAGAUCUAACGGCUCCACAGCGCACAAAGAUCAAGCAUCUUCAAGCAGAAAUAUCGCGCUUGCGAAAAAAAGGACAAUCUUUCAAAGCAAGGUUAAAAGGUGGUGCAGAUCGAUCAAUCGUAUUUUGUCAGGAAAAUUAAACAUAUGUGGGUGAAGACGAAACAAAAACAGCUGCCCAACAAUAUUAUGAUAAACAUAAACAUUAUAAAAAUAAAAAAUAAUAUGCAAA